Molecule: long non-coding RNA, 1031 nt
Filed under: Sarcophilus harrisii (Tasmanian devil)
Lineage: Eukaryota; Metazoa; Chordata; Mammalia; Dasyuromorphia; Dasyuridae
Description: lncRNA (ENSSHAG00000024981.1)
Source: RNAcentral
GGGAGGUCCCAGCCGGUGUGCACUGGAGAACGCCGGCUCCCCCUCCCCUGCUUUGGGGUCCUUGCCCCUCCAUGGGUCUCCAGACUCGGCUCUGUCCCUGGGGCUCCCCGUUCUCCCUCCUGCAGGCCGUGCGCUUAUCUCCGAGACUGUGGAUCCCGGUCUCCCGCGCUGUGUCCCCCCCAUCCUUGCUGCGCGGCUGCCUCCUGUCUCUCCCUCCCCCUCCCCUUCUCCUCGGCUCUGUCCUUGUCCUAGCUUGCCCUGGGAGGACGGACAAGCAGGGGCUGGGCCCGAGCGCCACCCCCGGCCCCCCGGGGAUGGGGCCAUCUUUCCGAGGAGCCUGAUGGGGCUUCUCUGCCAGGAAAGGGGGGGCUAAGGGGAGGAUCGGCAGGGGGCAGGGGCCGCUCCCUCCCUUCUUCCCUCCGCACACCCGCUGACGCUUUGGGCUAAAAACACCCGAGGGGGCCGCCGGGGGAGUAUCGCCUUCCCCGGCCCGAGGCUAAAGGGGCUGAGCGGGCGCGGCCGCAGGCAGACGCCAGAGACACCAUGAUCUUCCCAGAGGCCGCGCAGUUUGUGGUCAAUUAUUUGCUGAACCGGUGGAAGCACCGCUGGCAGAGUCUCAAUCACGAAUUUCUGGGCAGAAGGAUGAGACGCCUGAUGCCCCUGUACCUGUGACGCCCGAGGGCAGGAUUAAGGUGACCUUCACAUGGUUAGCCAGUUAAUCUUCUUGGUAUACUUCCUGACCCUACUCAAAAAUCUCAAAGAGACCCUUGCUUGGGCCAGGAAAAGGCCCAGGGAACGAGAGAGCAGGAGCCGGCAAAGAUUUACCAAGAUUUGGAAACGUCAGCUAGAAGCGAUCUCAUUGUGUGGGGUGGAAAAUGAACCCCUCCUCCCCAAGAGGAAGGGACUUAAUCAAUGACACCAGAAUUAGUGGCAGAGAAAGGAAGGACAAAACACAGGAUUCCUGACUUGAAGGCCAGAGGAAAUAAUGCCUGGAUGGAGCAGAAACUAAAGAAGGACCUGGUGGAACUAAG